RNAcentral lists this microRNA (21 nucleotides) under Homo sapiens (human). RNAcentral's name for it is "hsa-miR-3648". The record is from miRBase by way of RNAcentral. Lineage: Eukaryota; Metazoa; Chordata; Mammalia; Primates; Hominidae.
AGCCGCGGGGAUCGCCGAGGG